GACGAACCGUGCGAACGUUGUUCGGAAUCACUGGGCUUAAAGGGCGCGUAGGCGGCUCGCCAGGUCCGGGGUGAAAGCCCCCGCUCAACGGGGAAGGGCCCUGGAAACCGGCGGGCGUCGAGGGAGGUAGGGGCCGUGUGGAACUUCCGGUGGAGCGGUGAAAUGCGUAGAUAUCGGAAGGAACGCCGGUGGCGAAAGCGACGGGCUGGACCUCUGCUGACGCUGAGGCGCGAAAGCCAGGGUAGCGAACGGGAUUAGAUA
RNAcentral lists this ribosomal RNA (261 nucleotides) under uncultured bacterium. RNAcentral's name for it is "partial 16S ribosomal RNA". It matches the Rfam family "Bacterial small subunit ribosomal RNA", at positions 524 to 784 of the family's 1533-position model. The record is from RNAcentral.